UGGGGAAUCUUGCACAAUGGGGGAAACCCUGAUGCAGCGACGCCGCGUGAACGAUGAAGCCCUUCGGGGUGUAAAGUUCUUUCGACAGGAACGAUAAUGACGGUACCUGGAGAAGAAGCUGCGGCUAACUACGUGCCAGCAGCCGCGGUAAUACGUAGGCAGCGAGCGUUGUUCGGAGUUACUGGGCGUAAAGAGUGCGUAGGCGGCGAGCCAAGUUUGGUGUGAAAUCCCCCGGCUUAACCGGGAGGGUGCGCCGAAAACUGGUUGGCUGGAGUAUGGGAGAGGAAAGCGGAAUUCCUGGUGUAGCGGUGAAAUGCGUAGAUAUCAGGAGGAACACCUGCGGUGUAGACAGCUUUCUGGACCAAAACUGACGCUGAGGCACGAAAGCGUGGGUAGCAAACA
This 402-nucleotide ribosomal RNA is filed under the name uncultured bacterium. Its description in RNAcentral is "bacterial SSU rRNA". It matches the Rfam family "Bacterial small subunit ribosomal RNA", at positions 355 to 774 of the family's 1533-position model. The record is from RNAcentral.